Molecule: transfer RNA, 85 nt
Filed under: Bacillus cereus
Lineage: Bacteria; Bacillati; Bacillota; Bacilli; Caryophanales; Bacillaceae
Also listed under: 2 other names
Description: tRNA-Arg
Rfam family: tRNA
About the family: Transfer RNA (tRNA) molecules are approximately 80 nucleotides in length.
Source: RNAcentral
GGAGAGAUAUCCAAGUCAGGCUAUAAGGAAUCACUUUCUAAGUGAAUGCGAAGGCACGUAGGUUCAAAUCCUACUCUCUCCGCCA